This 254-nucleotide ribosomal RNA is filed under the name uncultured bacterium. RNAcentral describes it as "partial 16S ribosomal RNA". It matches the Rfam family "Bacterial small subunit ribosomal RNA", at positions 524 to 776 of the family's 1533-position model. The record is from RNAcentral.
UACGUAGGGGGCGAGCGUUGUCCGGAUUUAUUGGGCGUAAAGAGCUCGUAGGCGGUUUGGUAAGUUGGAUGUGAAAUCUCCAGGCUCAACUUGGAGGGGUCAUUCGAUACUGCCAUGACUAGAGUUCGGUAGGGGAGUGUGGAAUUCCUGGUGGAGCGGUGAAAUGCGCAGAUAUCAGGAGGAACACCCGUGGCGAAAGCGGCUCUCUGGGACGGUACUGACGCUGAGACGCGAAAGCGUGGGGAGCGAACAGG